CUGCUCCCUGAGCGCCGCUCCCCGCUAGCACGUCCUCACGCUCCUCCGUAAUGUGCUUUUAGAGCUGGAGCACCUGUCUGACAAAUGGGAUUCGGAUGCAUGAUCGGACCAAUGGGUUUCUGAAAACACGUCAAGGCCGAUUAUCUUGGGGUGGCUCAGUCUGCGGCUGUAAGAAAUUCUGAGAGGCGUUUCAUAAAUGUUUUUUGAACGGCGGGCGAUGGCAUCACUGGAACGUGUGCAGCCUCCCCAGGUGUUCGGGGAGCUGCGUGUGCAGGCUCUAACGGCCCGGGCAGCCCCGUAACGCUGGUUCAUUAGUAGACCCGUUAUUAGAGCUGGCCCCCUUACAUGUCCAUCUUAAGGCGUUUACUCUUUCAUUGAAAACGAAUACUGUUUCACUUUUCUAUGCGGUCGAGUUUAACCGUCACUCCACAACGAAGCCCAAAAGGCACUACCUGCACCUGCCUUGCGCACGCUUCACAGGCCGCUCCUGCGACACGGCGUUUGUGGCAGCGCUCACCCACGUGCCAGGCCGUGUCCUCGGCACCUGGUAACCCCGGGGGCCAGGCACCCCAGGCUGAAGCCCAGUGCCUCCAACUCAGAAGAGGGAGCUGGGAUUUGAACCCAAGCAGACCGACACGAGCCCAUUCGACACCUCAGUCCUAUUUCUUUUUGCUAAGUAAAAAGAUUUAAGGAGAAAAAGAUUUAAGGAGAAAAAUCACUUAACGUUGUAUUAGGCAAAGGUACGAAUCAAACUGGGACUUCCAGGUAUUUCUCAAUGUAAAAAACACACCGAGACACCAGAGAUGAGCUGCCUUCUCACCGUCACCACUGGUUCCUGGCCGGGGCCGACUCCGUCCUGAUCCCCAGGCCAGCACACCACACACGACCCCAGCUCUCUCUGUUCAACCUCACAGAACUGCCAACAGUAGAUACUGGGUUAUCAGGAGUCCAGUCCUCUGGAAGACGGCCAGUAAACACUGGCCCACGUUUUCUUGUCUUCUUCAAACCCUUGUGUUAGGUUUCCACGUGAGGGCUGUGAACUAGAAGCCGGGGACAAAAGGCCAGCAAGACAAAGAUCACGGCCCAGCAGACAGGCCAACGAGACGGGAUGAGGUGAUCAAUCGUUCACAGGUGAUGCUAAGUUUCCUUUUCAAUGCUCCACUGUGCCCUACUGAGGGAAACCGCUGUCUGAACAGGAAGACUCGACAGAUACCUAACCCGCUUCCCAGCUCCAUCCCCCUGUGUGUGUGUAGCCCAAGAACAGGGAGCUCAUCACUCUCACCUCUAACACGAAGGGUAUGGAUAUCAUUGUACCACAAAAGAUGACUGCUAUAUAAGGGCCUCACAUACUGUUACAUUUGUGUACUCCUGUACCUCCAAAAUAGCACCAGUCAUUAAGGAGAGGCUUCAACAUCACAUCACCACCGUCUGCUUCUUCCCAACAGAGCCAAAACACACUUGCAGGCUCAUGAACUGCAAAUACACCUUCAGGUCAGUGGCUUUUUAAAUUUUUUUUUUUUUAAGAUCUAAAUUUGCCUUUUCCUCCUAUCAAAGUCACUAUUUUCUGAAGCUUAUUUAAAAUGAAAAACUUCACUAGAGUCAAGUCAAUGAUCCUUUCCUUCUGAUUUCUGUUUUCCUCAGGCUUCUACCUUGGAGGUACCAUUUCCCUCUUCAAGGGGGCAGGAACAGUCUUACAAGUCACUUACUACGUAAGACCAUGGAAUGAAUGAUGCAGCUGCACAGCCAAGGUGAGAUCCACGCUUUAUGAACACAUUAUUCUCACACGCCCCAGUGACAGGUUUAAUACACAAGAUUCUCAGCUCAUUUUACAGACUCUGGAACCAAGUUGUUCAGAAGAUGAAUUCUGAAACCAUAGUUGGUGUAGCAAAUUAAUAUAUCAAAACAAAUAAAAACUUCAAAUAUUUACAUUUAAAAAAGACAUUUAAAAAACAGGCUACUUAUUAAGUAAGUGUGCUUGAACAAACCAUGUGUGGAAUUGAAUUCCAUUCAUUAUGGAGUUAGUUUCUGUUAAACACUGACACUACAGAGACCCCUGGCAUCUGAGGACUCAAGAAUUUAGUGUUCCCAAUCUGUGCUAAAAAAUAAAACAUGACAGAUAAUUUCCAUGCGCUAAUUGGAACCUCAGAUAUGGAAGGUCUAGUACAGAUAAGGCAGAUUACUCAGGAGUCAGAAGGCCUGGCACUUGUAACUCAGCGUGGCUUUCCCAUUGCCUAAGUAUCACCAGGAAUUCGAUAAAAUGCUCUGCAGAGGUCAUUUAAAUUUUUUGAUUACACCUUACUUCAUUAUGUCCUAGUAAUUUCACAAAUUUGGACAUUCACAAAAAUGUUUUGAAAUAUAUCAAUAUUCCUUGAGAAGGUGGAGGGUCUCCUAUAUUACAUCAAAUAAAAACCAUGCAGUUUCUUAGAGCUCACAGAGCUUUCCAAAAUAAACUACUGAUCAUACAGCCCAAUUAAAAACUCAAAACACUUUAUAUUACAGGUAUAGAAAGCUGCUUUAGCUUAGCAUUGCCAAUAUAGUUAAUUUGACACCUUAGCCCUACUUGCAAAGCGGUUAACAGCUUUACAGUGAUUUUUUUUUUUUUUUUUGCGGUACACGGGCCUCUCACUGGUGUGGCCUCUCCUGCUGCGGAGCGCAGGCUCCGGACGCGCAGGCUCAGCGGCCAUGGCUCACGGGCCCAGCCGCUCCGCGGCAUGUGGGAUCCUCCCGGACCGGGGCACAAACCUGUGUCCCCUGCAUCAGCAGGCGGACUCCACUGUGCCACCAGGAAAGCACUACAGUAACUUGUUUUUGUCGUCAUUGUCUUUGGCUCAGAUGAGGGCUUACGCAACUUGGAAGGUUUUUCACUUGUGUUGCUUCAUUGUUGUUUGUGUGGGAGUGGGUGCAGGUGGGGAUUAUAGCAAAGAGGGAUCAGUUCAUUAUAAUGAAGACAGAUCAGGAAUUACACAGCUACUAAAAUUUCAUUACCAUUCCCUUACAAAAUGUACGUGGGAGAAUAUGACUUGAAGACAUAGGGCAAAGCCUUGGAUGUGUGCGUACUGUUUCUGCUGCUUAUCCAGCCUGACAGUAACGCCAAACUUAAUUUACUACCUAGGGCAAGGGCAACUAAGAGGGAUUUUAUGAAGCCCAAUUCAUUUUGGUUCUGAUAUCUUAAGUGCUUAAAAUUUUGGAGUUCUUCAGAUUAACCUGAAAAAAAAAUCAACAACCAAAAUACCCCAAAGAUUAGAUAAAAAACAAUCGGUUAACAACUGUUAACCAUUAAAAGUUAUCCAACUCUUUAACAGGUUUAGGAUUAGUUGGAAGUUUGCUUAGUCUGUAGACCAAGGCAACUCUUCUAAAGCAAGAUG
Molecule: long non-coding RNA, 3365 nt
Organism: Orcinus orca (killer whale)
Lineage: Eukaryota; Metazoa; Chordata; Mammalia; Artiodactyla; Delphinidae
Exons: 3
Source: RefSeq, a predicted model, not a curated record